Molecule: long non-coding RNA, 31596 nt
Filed under: Triticum aestivum (bread wheat)
Lineage: Eukaryota; Viridiplantae; Streptophyta; Magnoliopsida; Poales; Poaceae
Description: long non-coding RNA (TAES_LNC004541)
Rfam family: MIR1120/MIR1122 microRNA precursor family (bases 23374-23508)
Source: RNAcentral
UGAAGCUGAGUUGAUCGCCACCGUGACCCGGAGUUGGUAGAGAUCGGCCUGUGAUCUGUUGCCGUGUCGUUAGAAUAAAAGUCGUGUGCGGUUGGUGAUGUGUCCGUGAGUGUGUGUUUAGUUUCUGUCCUGUCGUUGUGUCCUGCUAUGGCGAGCUAUCCGAUGUAAUAAGCAUUUGGCACUUGUGCUUGUUUUUCAAACCAUGGAUCGUGAUGAGAACCUCUGUACUGUGGUGCAAUCCUUUCAUCUAUGCGAAUGGUCUUUAUUGUCUACUCGUAUAUCUUAAUCGGUGCGGUUUUCUGGAACCUGCCUACACCAGAUUAAGCAAAAACAAUUAAAAAUACUAAAGAAAUCUGCAAAUAUGAAACUUUACCGUAACAAGCAAUGUCUACUGUAUGUCGAGGUGUGUUUUCGUAUCUAUACUAAACCUAUCCUACAGCGACCCGAUCCUAAACCUAUCCUACGGCGGCGGCGCCCGACGUCCUUCGUCCAUCGUAGAAGGACUGACCCACAUGGAACACAAGGCCUUGUCGCCUUUCAUGCCUUGCUCAUUCUUGCAGGAGUCCGCGCCGUGAGGUCCAUGAUGGAAAUGGUGUCGCUCGCCCUGUUGUCGUCCCACCUUGCUGCCGGAUAGUUCGUCGGCAACGCAUAGGAGGCGCAACUGGUGUUGUUCUCCUUCGCGAUCCCCUGGAGCUGGGCCUCGAUGACGGCCGCUUCCUGGCGAGCGACGGCUUCAGCGCGGACGACAUCGUAGAUGGCACGCUGCUCCGCGACGAAAUUGGGGUUCGCAUCGGCCAUAGUCGCCACGGCCUCCUCGCUCGCCGCAGAUCUGGCCCUCCGUCAGCCGGUGCUGCUCCAGGAGGAACAGGUUAUACCGUUGUUCCUCCUGCGCCCGCUGGACGCCGAAAGGCGCUGACGCAAGCUGCAUCUCCGUCAUGGCGGCAUUGUAGUGCUCUUGCGCAUGCUCCAUGGUGAAGCCGGCGUGCACAGGAGGUGCUGGAGCCGGGGCGGUGUCGUCGGAGCCCGUCUUCAUCGUGGUGUCGUCCUCGUCAUCGGACACCUCGGGAGAGCUGGCCGGCAAACCGGUCUCGAUCCGCCUGGCACGGGGGCAGCAAGGGCGGCCACCACGUGCUUCAUCUCAGUGGAAAGGUUCUCCCACAAAGCUUCGCCAAGCUUCGCCGCUUGCAGUCAUGGCAGAUGCAAUGCAAGGGAGUAGGAUGUGGAGCGGCUUGUCUUGGCAUAGAGUUGGUCGGGUGUGGCCGCCUUUAAAUAGCGAAUUUCAGUGAGACCAACCGUUCGGGUGCGUCAAUGCGCAGCGGCGGAGUGGGUUUCACAGCCGUUAAGCCUAUUUAAUGGCGGCUUACGGACGGACGGGCCAUUCAACGGGCGUGGUAGAUAUCCGUCCCGUCCCAUCCAGUAAUGCGUCUUCGGCAUUGAACAGGCGCAAACGUGUCGCGGGUUGUGCCCUCGUCCGGCGUGCCGUUUCAAUGACGGUGGCAAUGAGAGGUCGCGUCCAUCCUGAGCCGUUUUUAAUGUGGUGUGGUGCGCGCGACAGCGGAAUGAAUGUGGACAGCUGGCGCCGGACGGGAACACGCACGGCGAGGAAGGAGGGGGUUUGGGUGGACCAGGCGGUCAGAAGCGGGUGUGGCAGCGGUCCGAACUCUCGCAAAACUCCCCAUGGUUGUCUUCGGUUUGCAGAAAAAAAAACAUCUGCAGAUCGCUCUACGGAUCAAUACAGGUCCGCGAUAGCUUCUACGAUGAAGAUGCAAUUGUGCUAGCCUGACCGAGUGAUGCACACAAUCUUUGACCGAUAUUGAUUUACUAUUUAAAAGUUCAUGUAAAAACAAUAAAGUUCAUAAGAAAAUGCCAUACAUGGCUGCCCCAACGGUAAAUAUAAAAAACACAGAAAUUAUUUUUUCAUGCAUCUUAAAUCCUAGUAGGUUGCUAACAAUUCGAUUGAACAAAUUUCGAGAGAGAUCAUCUCCCGUCGAAAACCGUGGGCGCCUUAUCCUCCUCUUUUUGUAGCAAUGACUACAUAUGGGAUGCCCUGAAAAUAAGUUGUAAUUUUUUGGAACAAAAUUAUUACAAGUGUUUCAAAUGGCCCAAUGCGUGUAAAUUCUCAGAAACUUCAACUUUGGAUGCACCCUCACUAAUCACUUUUCAAACAUAUUCAUACUACUUGUGGGUGGAGGUAGACUAAAAGCUAUAUGGACGUAUCACCAUAAUAAUUUGGCAAGCGAGCAGAAGGAAUAAAAGGCCGGAUGAACUCCUCAUCCCAACAAAAGCAACACCUAGUGCAUUCUUGCCAAUUCUUUUCUCCAGACUAGGUAAUUGUCCGUGCGUUGCAAUGGGGAUAAGAAAAAAAGUAUGGAUGCACUAAUUAAAGGGUCGUCAUAUUUUUACAUAAGCAUCACAGUUCUACGAUUUCCACCCACCCACCUUGUGCCGAGCACCCUCGUAUAUACUCAUCCUCCUUACCACCCACCAUCCCAUUCCACACGACAAGUAGACAAGGCAUCCCUUUUUCCUCUCUCCCCACCCUUUACUGGACAUUAUUUUUAAUUAUCCGACAUGCAAAAAUCAAUAAAUCAUUCAUCUCAAACAUGUAUUUGUAGGAUCUUCGUGCACAUCAAACAACACUGUCCACUAUUGUUUUACGUUAAAUCACUCUUCUUCGAGUAGGCUAAGCAGUCUCAGUGGAGUAACUUCGCCCCUUGUCCCUCCAAAGCAGGUCCAUGCAGCUAAGCAACCCUUGACACGCGAAAAAGAAAACACAGAGGAAAACAUGCAACCAAACAAGGUCUCGCAGGACAAAAUAACCUGGUGACUUGUGUGAGUGCCUACAAAAAAAUCAUGUGCAGGAAGGAGAGGGGGAUGGUGGAUAGAAGAACCAUCAUUAUAUCAACCUACCAUUCAAAGCUCAAAGAAGUUUUUAGGAAGAAUACAAAAUAUAAGUAAAUCUCAAUAGGUAAAGUUAAUGGCAAGGUACAUCGUUUUUCUUUCAAAAGGAAUAUCCACGGCCCAUCAUUUGUGAUGCACACAUCCAUCUUUUAUUGAAUAAAAUUCAAAUGUUCAAGGGAUUUAGAAUAAUAGAAAAGGAAAAAACUACAACCUCUAGCAAAAAAGGAUUACAUGACACGUUCACAUAAUUUACUAAAGAAGCUGUGUAAUGUUAUAACACACACACCGAAGGUAAUAAAGAAAACAAAAUACCCCCUACUUUCCACCAAUUGUAACAAUCUUUGAAGUCAUUAUUAACAAACUAAAAGGCUUUGGCCUAUGCAUUCAAUUGUUCUACAUGAAUAAAGGGUUGUCAUUGCGUACAAUUUGAUGUGUGCAAAUAAUAUACAUUUUAUAAUCAUGACACAAUCUAAAUCCUAAUAGCACUGGUAGCUUCAACUUGAGAAUUGAUGGGAGUUAUAAUAUGGCUUUGAAGGCAAAUACCAGCUCCUUGCUAUAGUUCUUCCUUGCAACCUGCACCAAAACCGACAUGGCAAACACAACUUUGAAGCCCACAACCAUGACACCACUUUUGCAAGUUGCUCAAAACACGAACUCGUUUGCAUAGAACAUCCAUUUCUCUAGUGGACAUUUCCUGUACUCAAUAUUCCACCAACUUCUGUAGAUUUGGAACCAAAAAAACCAAGCUAUCUUGCUUCUACUAAACCAAGAACGGAGAAACACCUAAUCAACAUGUUGACUACUUUCCUUGGACUGCUAAUAUCUUGUUAUCUUGUUAGCGUAUCAAGAUUUUAGAUAAUAUGAACAGAAAUAUCACUAACAACAUAAUUUCGGGAGGAACAUAUAUUGUGUUACUAUUGAUGUGCGUACCCGAUGGUGGUGAAAAAACUUGUAGUGAAAGUGUAAAAACACAAUAGCAAGCAAGUAUUCCCUACCCCUACUAAUUAGAAGAGGAAUAACAAAUCAUUAAAUAUAAAUUUUAAUGAUUAAAUAAACAAGAAACUCUAUGGGUCAUGCCUAUGUAAAGUGAAUAGUUUUUUUGGAAAGGAUCCCACAACCCCUGUCAUUAUACCUUGACUCUAAAGCUUAAGCCUUGUUUUCAGCAUGUCAACUCGACAUACCAUGCCUUUUCCAAAUGCGUCUACAGUCGAUAUGAUGCAUCGAUUGUUAUUUUGCCAUGUCUUGAACUAAACAGAUAUGUUUGCUUACAUAAGCAUGUUACUGCAUAACCACAAAACCCAAUGCAAGGCAAUAAGCAACAAUAACAUGAGUAAAAGAACUACGUUCUAGAAAACUUGACAUACUGGGAAAGUCACUUCUCAGCCUGAGCUGAAAUGAGCUCGGGUGAACAGUCAAAUUGAAUUUAUUUAAAAAAAAUCUAAUUUUCUUAUGACGAACAUUGAAAAAUGUUCUAAGAGCUUGCAAAAUUUCAUCAUGGAAUCACAUUUGAGGUUGUCGCGACAGUAAAAAUUCAGUAUUCUAAAAUGCUUUCAAACGUAGCAUUUUUAGAGUAUCGGUUUUAUUUUUUGCCACGCCUUCCAGGAAUGUGAUUCCAUGAUGAAAUUUUGCAAGCCCGUAGAACAAUUGUCAAAAAUAAUUCAGAAUUUUUUAAUGUGUUUUGAUUUUUUUUAUUUUACCGUUCACCUGGGCUCAUUUGAGCUUGGCUGAGAAACUCCGCGUCCGACAUACUGUUCAUCUUAUAGCACACCCCACCACAUAGCAUUUUCCAUUUGAAGCAUUUUGCAUUUCUUGUAAAUUUUGAAGGCUGAGUUGCACUUAGCUGCACACAUGAAGGCGACAAUGGUGCCAGGGAUGCUAUGACCACAAAUUCCAGGAAUACCAGCAGUAAUGUGGUGAUGAAUUCAAACUCCCAUUGAUCCAUCAUUCCAUAUCAAAAGUCUUAACUUAUGUAGUACAUAACCAUUAUGGCAUACCUUCCACUAGGAAAAAGUAUGAAUGUACAAAAAAGUAGAUAAAAUAUUUAGAAUUUUCACAACCGCAUCUCUUAGUUUUGAUCCACACAUUGUUGGCUACGCAUGUUUUGUGAAAAAAGUAUGGAUAUUGGGAUGGAAUUCUAUAUGCAUGCUGACAUGUGUCUCUUUAUACAUAAAGUCAAUGGCGGAAUUCAGAAUCUGAAGGAAAGACAAUGCUAGAUUUUAGGCAGUCAUGACAAGAUGCAAAUUAAGCUCAAAGCAAGUCGUAUUCAAACACAAAUUAGUUCCUUUCAAGCCUUUUCUCAAAGCAAGAAGGCAUGUUUGAGGAACUCCAUUUUUAUUUUAUUUGGGGAAAGAAACUGUUUCCUUGAUAAUCAUCAGAAAUCACACAUAUAACAAUUCCAUCAACCAUUGCAGAUCUACUCAAUCUCAGAACCGUGCUGAUUCUUGCAAGACAAACUAGUUUUUGAAAUGCAUGAAUAUAUUUGCAAUUUCAUAAUAAUUUUUUGACUGAACAAACCUUUUUGAAGCAUUGAUUUUCGAAAUUUGAGAACAAUUUCUGAAGUGGUGAACUUUUUUCAAAUUUUGGUGAACAUAUUAAAUAAAUUCAUGCCAACAUUUUCAAAUUCGCCAACAUUUGUUUCAAAUUCAUGAACAUUUUUUGCAUAUGUUAACUUUUUUUCGAAAUUGUGAACAUUGUUUGAUUUCCCGUUUUUUUAAAUCAAAAUCAUGACUAUUUUCUUGAAUUCCGAACAUUUUAUGAGGUUCUGAAUAUUCUUUUAGUUUUUGAAAUUUUUUCAAAAACAUCAUCUUUUUUUAUUUCCCUAAUGUGUUUUACAAUUAGGAACUUUUUGAAUUCCUUAAUAAAUUUGAACAUAAAAAUACGAAAAACAAAAACCGGAAUGAAGGGAGGAGCUGCGGGUGCGCGCGCUGUGUGUCCAGCCUGUUAUGCGGAAAAGAAAACCCUAUUUGCCGCUCUUUGCAAUAAGUUGUUGCGGUUUCGCAUAAACGAGCGAGCGACCUUUCGGGGUGGGCCGACCCGUUUAGAGUUGCAGCGAUACCGGUUUUGGGAACAUUUUAUGAUGUUUCUAGCCUAUUUAUUCUCGUUUAGGGAACGUUUUAUCUUUUUCAUUUAAUAUUUUUCUCUUCUUUUUCGUUUUUUUCAUUUUUUCCUUUUCUUGCCUUUUUUCUUUUCUUCCACCUUUUCAUUUUUCUUUUUCAAAAUUAUUUUCAGUUUUUCAACAAAUGUUCCGGAAUUUAGGAAAUGUUUGAAUUUUCCUAAUUUUGUUCACAUUUUAGAAAAAUGGUUCUGUUUUCAAAUUUUGUUCAGAAAUUUAAAAAAAGUUCGGUAUUUCAAAAAUUAUUUGCCUGUUUUCAGAAAAUGAUUGCAUUUUAAAAUUUUGUUCACAAACUAAAAACUCAAGGAUUUCAAAAGCUUGUUCCCAUUAUUCAAAAUUUGUACGCACAUUCAUAAAAUGUUCAUGCUUUUUAAUUUGUUCACAAACUCAGAAUAUGUUUGCAUUUUAAAAAUAUUUGGAAAUAAAAAUGUUCCCGUUUUUCAAAAUUUUCACAAAUUAAACAAAAUGUUAUGUUUUCGAAAUUGGUUCACGAAUUAAAAAAUUGUUCAUGUUUGCAAUUUUUUUACCAAAUCAGAAAAUCUCCGGGGGGAAUUUUGAUGCUUUUUAUUUUUGUAAAAAUUGUUCAUAAUUUCGAAGAAAACGUUCAUGUUUUCUCUUUUGUUUAUUGAUUUUCAAAAAAUGUUUACAAAAGUUUAUGUUGGAAAUUUCGCGAACUGGUUUUGAAGUUUUGUCGCCGCUGUUAGGUUCUUUAAGAUUCGUGUUGUAGUUCUUUCAGAUGGGGACUUGGUCUCGGUGGCUAGCGCAGCGUUUGCAUCUUCACGAGAUGGUGGGUUCGAUCCCUAACUUGAACUGUUUUGCGAAAUUUUACCGCGCCAAGCGAAUGCACCUCUAAUGGGCCGACCCAGGGUAAGCUGCGCCCUGUGCGAAGCCGCGAUGCCCGAUGGAGCCCAAAGUGUGCUCUAUGGGCCGGCCCCUUUAGCGAAUAUUUUUUUCGCCCGCUGUUCUCACCUGGUUUUUAUGGUUAUCUGUAGUGUUGACCACGUUUAUAGUUGACUUUUAGCGGACUAUUAUGUAUAUGAAAAAAAGUUUGUGGAUAUGAAAAGGUUUAUUUUCUAAAAUAAAACCUCAAAUUUGAAAAAAACAUUCAUAAUUUUGAUAAAGUUCAUGAAUUAAAAAAACACAAUUUCGAAAAGAAUCAUGAUUUUGGACAAAUUUAAUAAUUAGUGGGAAGUGAUUCUGUUCGGCCGGCUGAAAACGCGUCGCGCGUCCACCACCUUCUCUAAGCUACACAUGUCUAUGUUGGCCCAUGAACUUUAUCUCCUCCCCUUCCCAAUCUUAUCGCACCUUCUUUCUUCUUCAAAGGUACUACACACCUGCAACGACCAUGGCUAGAUGGAGCGCGCGUGUGUGCUACGGGGUGCGGCCGUGGCUGGGCUGCACACGCGCGGCGCAGAGGGCCCGCCCUGAGCUUGUGCUUCUCCAUGUACAUGGCCAUGGUGUCCAGGCUCGAAUAUAGAGAUGCCUUUUUGUUUUGCAACAACGCCUUUUGAUGUGGCUUUUUGCAACAUCUGCAAUGUUACAAAUGUCGGCGACGAAUGACGGUUGUGGUUUUGCGACAUGCAUCGACAAUGGUAGCAGUGCUUCUGCACAUCAUUUCGUUGCAAAAAUUUCUACAACAUUCCCUAUGCAGCUAAAGUUCUUCCGCAACAUCAGUGGUGUUGUGAAAAAAAGUGAGAAAAAAAUCUGCAACAUGUCCUCUGUUGCAAAAGUUUUGUGCAACAUGAGCUAAUGGGCCGGCCCAGGGUAAGCUGCGCCCUGUGCGAAGCCGCGAUGCCCGAUGGAGCUCAAAGUGUGCUGUAUGGGCCGGCCCCUUUAGCGAAUAUUUUUUUCGCCCGCUGUUCUCACCUGGUUUUUAUGGUUAUCUGUAGUGUUGACCACGUUUAUAGUUGACUUUUAGCAGACUAUUAUGGAUAUAUAAAAAAGUUGUGGAUAUGAAAAGGUUUAUUUUCUAAAAUAAAACCUCAAAUUUGAAAAAAAAACAUUCAUAAUUUUGAUAAAGUUCAUGAAUUAAAAAAACACAAUUUCGAAAAGAAUCAUGAUUUUGGACAAAUUUAAUAAUUAGUGGGAAGUGAUUCUGUUCGGCCGGCUGAAAACGCGUCGCGCGUCCACCACCUUCUCUAAGCUACACGUGUCUAUGUUGGCCCAUGAACUUUAUCUCCUCCCCUUCCCAAUCUUAUCGCACCUUCUUUCUUCUUCAAAGGUACUACACACCUGCAACGGCCAUGGCUAGAUGGAGCGCGUGUGUGUGCUACGGGGUGCGGCCGCGGCUGGGCUGCACACGCGCGGCGCAGAGGGCCCGCCCUGAGCUUGUGCUUCUCCAUGUACAUGGCCAUGGUGUCCGGGCUCGAAUAUAGAGAUGCCUUUUUGUUUUGCAACAAUGCCUUUUGAUGUGGCUUUUUGCAACAUCUGCAAUGUUACAAAUGUCGGCGACGAAUGACGGUUGUGGUUUUGCGACAUGCAUCGACAAUGGUAGCAGUGCUUCUGCACAUCAUUUUCGUUGCAAAAAUUUCUACAACAUUCCCUAUGUAGCUAAAGUUCUUCCGCAACAUCAGUGGUGUUGUGAAAAAAAGUGAGGAAAAAAAUCCGCAACAUGUCCUGUGUUGCAAAAGUUUUGUGCAACAUGAGCUAUGUUAUAAAAGGUUUCUGCAACAAGACUUUUAUUGCAAAAGUAGAGGAUGACAGUCAGCCGCUAGAUUGUUCUAUAUCUGAUGGUGCACGAGGCGGCGAAUCUUUAUAAAAAAAAUCCGCCGGCCAAUGCAUAGCACUCCCCAUAAUUAGUAAGAAUUUCACAAAUUUUGAAAAAGUUCAUGGCGCGAACUGUUUUUGCAAAAUUUUACCUCACGAAUCGAAGACACCGCAAAUGGGACGGUCUAGGGUAAGUUGUCCCCUGUGUGUCACAUCCCUAGUUCUGGUAUGACCUAGACUAGCUACUCAUGUGUGCAUCAUGUUUAAAUUUCAAUGAAUUUGAAAUGGGGACAUGUGAAAGCCUCAGAAAUCAUUUCUGAAAAUGACCAAGAUAAAAAUUGCUUCAAAUAGGUCUAAGAAAAUGUUCAUGUUUCUCUAUGAAAAUAUUGGACAGAGGUAAAAUUCAAACCAAUAUUUUCAGAAGCUCAUCAAUAUUUAUUUUGGACAUUUGAGUUAAUUCAAUAAUUGUUUGCAUUGGAGUUAUAUUUGUUAUAUAUUAAAUAUAACUCCAAUAACUCUGAAAGUUGGUAAGUGGCUUUGAAUACUUUUUAAAUGGCCACAUAGUAAUUUUCAGAAGUUUAUGAAAUGAUCUGGUAUUUAAAUAAAAUCAAAACCAAUUGCAGAAAAUAGAAAACAUAAAUAAAUAGAAAACCAGAGAGAGAGAAAACCUACCUGGCGCCUACCUGUGCGGCCUGCUGCUCAAGCCGGCCCAGCCCAUCUCCACCUCCCCUGUCGUCUUCCUCCUUUUGCCAGGAGGACGAAGGGCGCGUGCCCAGCCCGCGACACCACACGCCGGCGGGGUUGACCCUCUUUAACCGAGGUUUGACCUAUUGGGGAUCGUUGCAGAAAUUAAAACAUUUCUACGCAUCACCAAGAUCAAUCUAUGGAGAAACUAGCAACGAGAGAGAGGGGAGUGCAUCUUCAUACCCUUGAAGAUCGUGAUGCGGAAGCGUUACAAGAACGCGGAUGAAGGAGUCGUACUCGCAGCGAUUCAGAUCGCGGUUGAUUCCGAUCUAAGCGCCGAACAACGGCGCCUCCGCGUUCAACACACGUACAGUCCGGGGACGUCUCUUCCUUCUUGAUCCAGCAAGGGAAGAGGAGAAGUUGAGGGAGAGCUCCGGCAGCACGACGGCGUGGUGGUGGAGCUUGCAGUUCUCCGGCAGGGCUUCGCCAAGCACUACGGAGGAGGAGGAGGUGUUGGGGAGGGAGAGGGCUGGGCCAGCGGAAGGGGUGCGGCUCCCAUGCGCCUCCCCACUAUAUAUUGGGGUGGAGGGGGCUAGUUACUUGCCCUCCAAGUCCAUUGGGGCGUUGGCAAAGGUGGGGGAAAGAAAUCUCAUCAUUUCCCUUCCCCACCGAUUGUUAUCCCCCUUUUUUAGGGAUCUUGAUCUUAUCCCUUCGGGAUAUGAUCUUAUUCCUUCUAAGGGGGGAUCUUGGUGCGCCUUGACCAGGGGUGUGGGGCCUUGCCCCCACUACCCACGUUCAUGUGGGUCCCCCGUGCAGGUGGGCCCCACUCCGGAACCUUCUAGAACCUUCCCGGUACAAUACCGAAAAAUCCCGAACAAUUUCCGGUGGCCAAAAUAGGACUCUCAUAUAUAAAUCUUUACCUCCGGACCAUUCCGGAACUCCUCGUGACGUCCGAGAUCUCAUCCGGGACUCCGAACAACAUUCGGUAACUGCACACUAAUUCCCAUAACAACUCUAGCGUCACCGAACCUUAAGUGUGUAGACCCUACGGGUUCGGGAAUCAUGCAGACAUGACCGAGACAGCUCUCUGGCCAAUAACCAACAGCGGGAUCUGGAUACCCAUGUUGGCUCCCACAUGUUCCACGAUGAUCUCAUCGGAUGAACCACGAUGUCAGGGAUUCAAUCAAUCCUGUAUACAAUUCCUUUGUCAAUCGGUACGUUACUUGCCCGAGAUUCGAUCGUCGGUAUCCCAAUACCUCGUUCAAUCUGGUUACCGGUAAUUCACUUUAGUCGUUUUGUAAUGCAUGAUCCCGCGACUAACUACUUAGUCACAUUGAGCUCAUUACGAUGAUGCAUUACUGAGUGGGCCCAGAGAUACCUCUCCGUCAUACGGAGCGACAAAUCCCAGUCUCAAUUCGUGCCAACCCAACAGACACUUUCAGAUAUACCUGUAGUGUACCUUUAUAGCCACCCAGUUACGUUGUGAUGUUUGGUACACCCAAAGCAUUCCUACGGUAUCCAGGAGUUGCACAAUCUCAUGGUCUAAGGAAAUGAUACUUGACAUUAGAAAAGCUUCUAGCAAACGAACUAUACGAUCUUGUGCUAUGCUUAGGAUUGGGUCUUUUCCAUCACAUCAUUCUCCUAAUGAUGUGAUCCCGUUAUCAACGACAUCCAAUGUCCAUGGUCAGGAAACCGUAACCAUCUAUUGAUCAACGAGCUAGUCGACUAGAGGCUCACUAGGGACAUGUUUCGGUCUAUGUAUUCACACAUGUAUUACGAUUUCCGGAUAACACAAUUAUAGCAUGAACAAUAGACAAUUAUCAUGAACAAGGAAAUACAAUAAUAACCAUUUUAUUAUUGCCUCUAGGGCAUAUUUCCAACAUGACCUCCCCUGGCUCACUGACGUGUGGGCCCAAGGCCCUGACUAAUUAGUGUUAGGAUUAAAUUAGGGUUAGCUAACUUGGUUAACUAGAUGUGACACUCACAUGCGGGUCCCAUUAGUCAGUUUGACCUGGCCAGCGUCUGUUGAGUUGCUGAUGUCACACUAAUGUCAGGCUGACACAGUAAAUCAUUUUCUGUAUUAAAAGUAAUUCAGAAAUUCCAGAAAAUAGUUAAAAAAUUUAAAAAUCAUAGAAAAUAAUCUAUAGCUCAGAAUGAAAAGAUUUAUAUAUGAAAAAUUAUCAGAAAAAUCCAAUCUAUCUGUUUAUGGCAUUUUCAUGCAUGUUUGAACAACUUAUUCCUGCUGAUCAGGUCAAAUCAAUUAAAUGGCAUUUAAACAAUUACAUAUGGAGUUUGAUUUUAAACCUAGGGUUCAAACCAACUUCAUUUAAAUCGUUGCUAGUUGCAUUAGCUCAAAGCAGAGCAUGUUGCCAUGUCAUGAUCAUGCAUCAUAUUGUUGCAUUGCAUUGAUUGUGUUUAUUCUUUGUUUGUCGGUGCUUGUCCCCUCUUAGUAGACGAGGUUCCGACGAUGAGUUCGAUGACACCGAUGAAGAGCUAUACUAUCUUCAGAAGUGCCAGGCAAGCAAAACCCCCUUGUUCAUUCCGAUACAAACCCACUCUAUCGCUUCUGCUCUCUUUUACUGCAUUAGGACAACAACGAUUCAACGGUUACAUGUUGCAGUAGUUGAACCCCUUUCCUCUGCAUGACCUGUCAUUGCCACAGUAAAUAGGUGAAACCCACUAGCAUGAGUAGGAGUUGUUUGAGCCCUGAUGUGCCUACUCAUUCAUGCUUGUUGUCAUGCCUGCUACUGCUUAGAUUUGAGUCAGGUCUGAUUCAUCGGGGAUGAAUUGGUAUGUGGUGAACAUGUCCUACUGUUGAGAGCUAAGUGUGUGAACACGAUUUGGUAAAGGUAGCGGUGAGAUGCCAUGUCGGAGUACAUGGUGGGUUGUCUCAUUGAAACCGUCCUCAGGAACUGAGUUCUGUGUUUGUGAUCCAUGAACAGCUACUACCACACGUUGGGCCCUGAAAUAUGACCCCGCUCGACUUAUUAACCCCCAUGUCCUCUGUCCAGGAGUUGCAAGUAGUUUCUGGUGUUUGUACUAUGCUGGAGGUCGUGCGCAGCGCUGACCCGAGGGGUGGGCUGUGAUGCGGUAGGCACAUGGCACGGUGUACCGGGAUGCCCGUUUGGUGCCUCGAGAACCCUGCACACAUUGUUCGGGGCUGUAAGUGGAAACCUCGGCCGGACUCCCUUCGGAUGGAACCUGAAUAGGCGAUAAACCUCGAAUAGGGACUUGUGUGGUUAGUCAGGUCAUGGUCUACACCCACGUCGGCUUUCGCUUGAAGUCCGCCGAGCACAUGUCGUGUGUAGACGCUAAGUGGUGGAAACAUGUGUGAAGAAGUACACCCCUGCAGGGUUAUAAAUGAUCUAUUCGAAUAGCCGCGUCUGCGGUAAAGGACCUCUGGGUUGCCUAUACAGUUCAUAGACAAGUGAAAGUGGAUACUCUAAAAUGCGCAAGAUAAGCGUGAGUACUAUGGAUGGCGUUCUUGUAGGAAGACGGGAGCGGACCCAUAGUGGUGUAUUGAUUGGUGAAUAUGUGGAAUCGUGUGCGCCACCUCAAAAGAGUUACUUGCAGUCCUAGUUUAGGAUAGCUACCGAGUCAAAGCUGGCUUGCUGCAGUUAAACUCCACUACCCCUUUGUUGAUACCGAUGCAUAUGUAGUUAGUUCUGAUGUAAGUCUUGCUGGGUACAUUUGUACUCACGUUUGCUUAAUUUAUAUUUUUGCAGAGAGACUUCAGUCUCGCUAGUAGUUCCGUGUGGACUUCGACGUUUAGCUUGUUAACUCAGCUACGAUCUUGUGCCCUCGACAGGGUCUUGUAGAUAGUCAGGCUUCUCAGCCUUUUCUUUUGUAGUUGUCUGUACUCAGACAAGUUAAGCUUCCGCUUGUGCUUGUUGCUUGUAUGACUUGAAUGCUGGGUCAUCAGACCCAUGUUUGUAAUACUUGGCUCCUCGAAGCCUAAUAAAUAAAUACUUUGAGUCAUAGAGUUAUGUUGUGAUGCCAUGUUGUAUUUGCACACAUCGAGCAUAUUGUGUAUAUGAUUUGAAAUGCUUGGUAUGUGUGGGAUCCGACAACCUAGUUGUUUAUCCUUGGUAACCUCUCUUACUGGGAAAUGUCUCCUAGUGCUUCCACUGAGCCAUGGUAGCUUGCUACUGCUCCGGAACACUUAGGCUAGCCGGCAUGUGUCCUUCUUCGUUCCUGUGCGUGUCCCUUCGGGGAAAUGUCACGCGGUGUCUACCGGAGUCCUGUUAGUCUGCUACAACCGGAUUCUCCGGAGUCAUGUUAGCCUAGCUGCUACAACCCGGAUUCACUCGCUGAUGACCGACACAUUCGUUGCUGGGUCAUGUAUGCCUGUCCCUGUAAGUUAGUGCCACUUUGAGUUUACGACUAGUCAUGUCGGACCGGGUUCUUUGUCAUAUGGAUGCUAGCGACACUAUCAUAUACGUGAGCCAAAAGGCGCAAACGGUCCCGGGCCAGGUAAGGUGGCACCCGUGGGAAUACCGUGUGUGAGGCCGCAAAGUGAUAUGAUGUGUUACAUGCUAGAUCGGUGUGAUUUAGGACCGGGGUCCUGACACUGUGCGAAGCCGCGAUGACCUAUAGAGCCCGAAGGCUGCUGUAUGGGUCGGCCCCUGUAGCGAAUGUUUUUUUCGCCCACUAUUCUCACCUGGGUUUUUAUGGUUGAUCUGUAGAGUUGACGUUUACAGUGGACUUUUAAGAGAAUAUUAUGGAUAUCAAAAAGGUUUGCAGAUUUGAAAAAAUUGUUUUUUAAAUAAAACCUUCAUAAGUUCGAUAAAGUUCAUGAAUUUGAAAAAAUAUCACAAUUUUGGAAAAAAAUACGAAUUUGGAAAAUUUCAACAAUUGUGAAAAAUUCACAAAACUUAAAUAAGUUCAAAAUUUUGAAAAACUUCAGAAAUUUGGGAAGGUUUGCGGAGUAAAAAAAUUCACUAAUUUCAAAACAUAAUAACCAAAUAAAACCGAAGAAAACCCGGUUUUGAAAACAAAAAUAAAAUAAUAGAAAAUAGGCCGGAAGCUCUCAAAAGUUUCCCAGAACUAGGAGAGAGCUUCCCCGCUCGAGCGCUCGUGUUACUUAUAUGGGCUGGCCCAUUUGUAGUCUAUCAGUGGUUCGGGUUGUGUGUUGUGUACGAUUAAGCCUAUAACUGAUGCUAUGGGUGCCAAAUAGGAAUUUCCUCUAACCCGCAACAAGCAAGAUAUAGCUUUUGCGGCCCUGCGAUGUUAGGCAGACCAAUUAUCAUGAAAUUGUAAAAGGACUUGAAAACACAAAAAUGUUCGCCACCCAGAAAGAAAAUGCACGAAGAAACUUAGACUAGUUACAUAGCACGACCCAAAUAACACCAACAAAUCUACCCCGUCCUGAAUCUCUACACCUUAGAUUUGUGCUCAUGGAAUUAACUAAUAUUUAACUAAAGACAACUGUAACGACAGGCGCUUAUUGUGUGGACACUAAUACAAAUAAGAUAUGAAUAUUAUAAAAUUACCUGCCCUCUCUCUCAGGACGGGACACUAAUUAUAGAUGCAACACCGUCGUUCGACCGGUGUAUUCGCUGCAAACCUUGUACGGAAAAGGGCAACCAUCGUUGACAUUAAUGCUACAUAUACGGGCUUUUUGUUUACACAGGAUUACAGAGGAGGUGAUUUGGACGCGUACUAUUAGUUGGUGGAUGGGCCCUUCACCAGAAAUUCAGAGAGGAGAGACUAUUGACAAAUUACACACUGUCUGCGGUAUAACAACCCCGUAAAGCCAUGUACAUUUAGGAUUACUAGCACCAAUGCCCGUGGGUUGCAACGGGAAAAAACAACGAUUCGUAUAAACCACGUUGCCGAGCUGAGAAACUGUAUCGUGGGACAAUGAUCGCCGAUGAGAAAAAGGCGUUGAAUCAUUUGAGGACGACAACAAUCAAACCAACCUAGAAUAACAAUUGCAACACCAACAUCAGCAAGCAAACCAACCUAGAUGGAAACUAAUUCAGGAAAACUUCCAUAAUUUAACAUAUCUACUUGGUCAAAUGCAACUUUAUCAUGCAAACCUAAAAAGUUUAGUAAAUAAUCAGUCAUUGACUUCACAUGGAAUUAAAUUGCAUAUGUAGGUAAACUGUAAUUGCGGCCAAUGAAUUGCGGACUCUAGAUGGAAGUAGCAAAACCCACAUGGAAGCAAGCAAAGAAAUCAUCUAAACAAAGGUGGGAAAAAAAGAGUGUGGAUAAAAAUCACUGGUGGAAGACUUACCUUUGGUUCGAGGGUUAGUGGAUACAGUCAGAUAUUUUAUGUACUUUUUUGUUUUGUAAUCCAGUCACAUGUAAUCGAUCGAUUUUAUUAUAACAGCUAUGUUUUUGGAGUCUCCUGUGAGAGAACCCGUGUUGCCAUAUAUGCAUGCCCCACAAGAAUCUGUAGCCAUUCAUUUAAUUAACUCGUCAUUAUGAUUAGCCAAUCAUAAUUAUCUGCGUCAUGCACGUCUCUCAGAAAUUGCCAUAUACUCUGUUUAAUUAGCCCAACAUUAAUUAGCCAAUCAUAAUUAUAUGCAGUAUGAUGUCUCGUCUCUUGGGAAUCCCACUCAAUUAGCCCACCGUUAAUUACCUUAAUCUGUUUUAUUAGCCCACCAUUAAUUAACCAAUCAUAAUUAUAUGCAUCAUGUAUCUCUCUCGGGAAUCCCAUUCAAUUAGCCACCUUUAAUUACCUCAUUCUCUUCCUUCCUUAUCUCUUUUUCUCACGUUUUUUCUUUCCUUAUUAUCUCUGGGCCACGUUGUUCGAAAUCACAAAUCCUCUCAAUCUUUCCUUAUUGAAACCCAACACGUAGGACACGACCGAUGAGCGAUUACAAAAGAGAACUGUCCGCUUUUCUUUCAGGCAACAGGUGCUAAAUUGGUUGGUUAACGCGUGCGGGCCUAUAUCUCGCCAACCCGGGUUCGAUUCCCAUCUAGCACAAUUUAUCUUUUGGAAGCAACGUACACACAAAUGGGCGGUGUGUCAAAAAAAACCACAACGUACGAAAGUGCAAACGACCGACAAAAGGAGGACGGCGUACAAAAACACUAAUGGACAAAAAAUAGUGGAGAAACAAUUCAUCCUUUAAUACUCCCUCCGUCCCAUAAUAUAGGUAAGAUAAAGAUAAAGAUUUCCUGACUAUGGGAUCGAAACUACAACUACCAAAGAGUGACCUCUGUUUUAAACCCUGAGGUAGAACUACAAUUAGGUAAGAUGAAAUUGGUACCCUCAACUUGCUGAUCCCGAUCAAUUUGGACCUUAGAUCCGUUUGCUGCACCGGGAAAAAGAAGAUCCAGGCCGGGAUCAGUCGCUACUCUCACUGAGGCGGGGCAAGUUGGUGCUUGAGGGAAGGGCCAGGAUGAUGGGCCUCGAGGCGGAGGCGGCGCGGCGACGCGCCUAGGAGGGUCACUUACGCAUUGCGAUUGCGGCCGCCCGCCGCCGUACGGUGCGAGGUGGCGGCUCCCUGCGUCCACGUGCUCCGGUGGCUCAAGGCGUGCGCGCGCGAUGAAAGGAAGAUGCCGGACCCUCCCGUGGACGCCGAGGUGCAAGUGCCCAUGAGACAACGCCAGUGCGUGACCGCGGCCACCGGGAGGAUUCGCUGACUAGCCGUGCUCGGUUCCUACGUGCCUCCCCCACCACCGCGUCGUCCUGACUCGCGCAUGGCACAGGACCGUCAUCUACAACAAUCGGCAUUCUAAGGCGCACCCACACCGAGCCAAAGCCAUGGACCGACGGACGGGGUUGCAGCUCAGGUGGCUAGCAGCUGGGGUGCGGGUUGGCGUGCACGGCACGCGCGUACAACACGCAAAGAGCGGCUUAACUACAGGGGUUAGUGCACGCAGAGAGAGAAAGAAAUUGGAAUAGGGGUGGUGAGCGUGCACUGCGUGGCCAUCGCGUGCUCAGCGCGGCAUGCACUCUGACGGACUACUCCUAGAGAAAUCAAUCAACCUGUAUGUUUGCUUCCGAGCAACUCUAGUUUUGAACAUAUGUCUAUCUACUAUCAUUAAUCGAUCUAGAAUCCUAAGUUCCUAACAGCAACAACGUCUUGGCGAUGGAGGCCGUCCAUGAAGCCGAUCGAAACGUGCGGCAUUCGCCUUGGCCUCCACCGACGGCAUGUGCAAGGUCGGGAGCAUCGUAGAUGGCCACAUCCCCGUCGCUUCUGUUGUCGCACGCAGACGAGCGGUUCGCACGAGCUCGUUUCGGGAGCUGGCUAUGUGAUCGGUAAGAGACAGGGAGGGGAAAGAGAUCGAGGAAGGAGUAUAUGGCAGGUAGGCCCGUGUGGUCAGUGAGACAAACAAGGGAUCCCGGACAGGAUUGUCCUUCCAAACAGGUCUAGGGGCGGUUUAGGGUUAUAAUUGAUCGGGAUCGAUGAGGUCAGGGUACCAACUUCAGGGAUUUAGAGGUGAAGGUUUAUUUCCGUCGUGGUCUACAAUCUCAGGGUUAAAAACAGACUUCACUGGUUGACAAUUACCUGGCGCCAUCCACUAGCGCCCAAUGAUGGAGAUGGCCAAAUACAUACCUAAUUGACAAUUACCAAAUAUGAGAAAAACAUGCACUCCUUUUAAUUUAUCUAUAUUCUUAUAAAUUUUUAUUUAUUACCACCCCUUAAAAAAUAUUGAAAUGACUCAGACAACACAAACAAGCAAACCCAAUGGUUGGGUGCUCUGUUCAGACUGUAGGAUUCUACGGCAGGGCGGGUCGACUACAAAUUAAAAAUUUCUACCCACAGAACAUCCAGGAACACACUACAAGAGAUGGAUCACGGAUCGUUACCACUAGACGUGCAAUGCCGUGCAGCAGAAGUAGAUUUGGGGCAGCGCGUCUCCGGAGUCGUCUCCGCCUCGAUCUCCCAGGUAGCCGAUCGGAUCGCAUGAACAGGUUCGACGGAGCGGCACAAGUAUACCGCCUCUAACGGUAUCCGCACGUGCAGGAGGAACACCGUGCGGCGGACUGCUAGUUCCAUCUGCUAGUUCCAUCAAACAGCCGACAGCGAGUGGAGGUGGCUAGUUGCAACACAUGCAAGGCCCUAGUGGAGACGCCACAGCAAUCAACUGAAACGGUAUGUCGCACCUCCACUAUAUAUAGGCAUCCGUCCCGGGCUCAACACUUGGGCCUUGCAUGGAUUCUAAAGCCCAAAGUUUGUUCGGCAUGGAUCCUAGUCCGAGUGGGAUCACAUCUGACUCGUGGAGUCGGAUCCAGCCUUACAGGUUCCUUCACUUAAGUGCGCGACCCCUUAGGUUCAAGUCAUCUUGGUCGCAGGUUGGAUCACCUCCGACUUGCUCGGUUGGUAGCGGCAUCUAGCAAGGCGUGACGACCACCAAGUAGACAAUGAAGCCGGUUGGCUUACCUGUACAACAUGUCACACUUCUAUUCUCUUUGCCACACGAUAUAUGUUGUCGGGCUCAAGGCGAGUCGGUCAUCUUUGUACUAGCCCGACCUAUUUCUCGUUCUAGUGAUGCCGACAACGAACCGGAUUAUCUCAUAAUCCUUGUCGCAUGGCCAUGCUUAUCCAGGUUGAAUCACACGAGGGCCCCAGAGUAUAUCUCUCCUGAUUGGAGGGGCAAAUCCCAUCUUGCUCGACCAUGUCUCGUAGCAUGGGUCUGGACAAGUCGAAAAUCUACAUUUAUAACUACCCAGUUAUGGAGUAGCGUUUGGUUGGCCAAAGCAGGUCUGUCACCAUCCCGAGUACAUGCGCCAGCUCAGGUGUUAGGACAUAGAAUGUAUGUUGUACUAGGGACUCACAUAUGACCUAUCGCCGCAUAUCAUAGUCGGGUCUGUACAACUUGGACCUUAUCUGGAUCGUAUGUCGAAUCCGACCAGAUCUUUGUGAGUCCAUACUAUCCGGAUAGCAUCCAAUUCUCCAUGGCCAAUGAGACCAAGCCAUCCACCGUGUCAUAUGCUAGUCUAGUCGGCUGUGCGUGCAGACAACCCUUUCGACUAGGGACUUUUUAAGGCAGUCAUCAUAUAAUGCCUAGUCCCACAAACAAGUCAUGUGCUUGCUGAUACACAUCAUUGAUAAUGUCCAAGAACUAUCUUUAUUCACAAACACAUAGGAAGAAGCAUCAUACAUGAUUUCCACUAGGGCAUAUCUCCAAUAGUCUCUCACUUACACUAGAGUCAAUCAAAUAGACAUUUAAUUCCCAUAGCUCUGACGUGCCCCUCAUGCUUGGGUUGUGGAAGCGACUUAGUGAACGGUUCCGCAACAUUUCCAUCCAUGUGAAUUUUGCAUAACUCUAUAUCACCACUCUUUUACGAUCUUCUGCAUGAGGUGAUAUUUUCAAUCUAUGUGUUUGGUCUUGUGGUGGUUCCUCGGCUCCUUGACUUGUGCGAUGGAACCAAAACUAUUACAAUAAAGGUCCAGUGGUUUUACCAUUGCUGGAAAAAUACCAAGAACAUUCAGAAAGUUCAAGAUCCAAGCACCUUCCUUUGCAGCUUCACAAACCACUAACGACCACAACACCCGCGGGGAGAGGGGUCACAUAUUCGCGGGCACAACCCGGACUGAGCCCACCAUCACCUACCCGGAGUGAAAACUCUAACCCGCCUCGGGCCCUAAUCAGAUCUGCCCGAGCACGGACCCCAAGUCCAGGUCAUCUCCGUCGCGCAAGCAGCGGGCGCCACCGACGUGGACCCAAGAGAAGGGAGGAACCACUACCAUGCACACCACGCUGUCAACCGCCACCGCCCGAGCCACCAUGACCACAUCGACGACCGCUGCAACCACGCCCCUGGCCUGCCGCAGCCAGCUGAGGCCGCUAGACCGAGCCACCACGAGCAAGGACUACUACUUCGGAGCCCCCACCAUGCAAUCAUCGUCGCAGCAGAGGCCGACCUGUGCUGCCCAUGACCCUCGUUAGAGAGGCAGCUACCUGUCAGAUUUCGCCGAGGCCCCACUACCGCCACAACCACCUCCGGGCGCUCCACUACCCACCACGCGGCCUAUGCCACAACCGUCGCACAGGCGCCCGCCACUACACCUACACGCCGGCCCCUGCACGCGAGGGGACGAGGAAGCCCCGCUGCCGCCGGCUCCAGUCGAGCUUUGCCCACCUGAGUCCUGUGGCCGCGGCUAGGGAGGAGGGGCGGGGAACCUGGUGGCGGCAGACUAGGGUUACCUCCCGGCUGCCGCGGGAGGCGUUGGAGGAAAGAGAAUCUCCGAUCAUAUUACCAUUCACCGCCAAAUUUGUUUAUCAUUAUCACCCAUCUUAAAAAAUACUGAAAAUGUCUGUAUUACCACUUUUGAUACAGGCAGAGAAGAUGCGCGGGCUGGCGCAGUCAAUUUCCGGCAGCCAGUCGAGUCUCAUCAGUUGCAAGAAGGUAAAUGUUCGAACUAUAUAUGCCGGUAGCGGAAAGAAGCUUUAUAUAACACCUCACCUAUGCUUAGUGCGACGCACGAUCAUAGUACUGCCACCCCACUAAAGACUGAAAGUACGUGUAUGCCACAACCAUGCAACAGUCGAGCAACCAAACAGCCAGAGCCUCUCUUUUAUGAAAUGGCUUCCAUCGAUGUCUCAUUCUACAUCUUUUGUGGCAGCCCGUGUGAGGUAACGCAACAAACCAACAGAUCAGCCCGUGUAAACUCCGCGUCUUCCCCACGAUGACAACCUCGUCUCGAUCGUCUCAUCGUCCCUCCUGCAUGACGCGCCGCCUUCUGACGCCAUGCAAGCGAGCCCUCGCGCGGCUCUUCCGCAUCCCGGCCUCCGCCGCCCUCUCUAUCAGGGCCUUCCGGUUCCGCAAUCUCCGCAAGUCCACCGCCAAGAUGAGCCCCCGCCACCGGCGCCGUGCCGGCCGAAGCUUCCGCUCGGUCCGCGCGGUGUUCUGGCCGUUAAUCCCUCCGUCUUCCACGCCGGCAACCUCGACAGAGAGCCAUACCGCGCGCAGGGUAGUUGCUGCGGCGGUGCCAGAGGUGCCGGUGCCGUCGCCAGAGACGCCUGCGUAUGUGAAGAUGGUGGCGCGGCUGCGGUCGAGGACGACCACGCGAAUUGGAGAGGACAAAGAGGAGGCAUGCCAGAGUUUUGAGAGCUGCCUGAUGGGGAUUUUGACGGAGGAAGGCAAAGCGCGGGACCUGCAGGACGUGGAGGAACUCCUACAGUGCUGGGAGCGGCUCAAGUCGCCGGUGUUCGUCGAUCUGGUCUGCCGGUUCUACGGCGAUCUGUGCAAGGACUUAUUCUCCUCCGCCGCCGGGGGUGAGAACGGCGGAAACACUAACCAGGACGUGGGACCAGUUUCCAUGUCGGCUGCUUUACUAGUGUAACUCGUUACCACAUCGUGUUGUAAGUUCGUAACACAAAACACUUAAUUUUACAGUUUACGCUAUGAUGGCCUUCCCUGAAAAAAAAUAUCGUAAUGGAUGUCUGGAUGGCGACGUGCAAUGGCCUGAGCUGAGCUCGAGAGCUAUGUCUCAUUUGAGACGGUAGCUUCGGGAGCAACUCGUUGACGAGCGUUUCUUCGGGAGUCUCCCAACGAUAAUUUUGGAUGGGCUGAGAGCACAUCACUUCACGCGUUGUCAUCCGCCGUCACGUGUCACGCUUUGGAUGUUUUCUCUAAUUUAUUUAUUUAUUUAUUUCACGUGUUUUCGGCUUUUUAGACUGUUUAUUUUCUGGGUUUUCUCGGCUUUUUCGUUUUUCAUCGGUCUUACUUAGCUUUUAGACAAAAAAUGAUUUUUUAUUUUACUUUUCAUGGAAAAACUUUUUUCUUCUUUCACGAGAGGCAUGAUUUUGAUUCGGCAUGAAGCACGAAUUUGCUUUCGCAAGAGGCAUGACCGUGCCUCUUCCGAACAAAAAAUAUAUUUUCUUCUUCUUUUCCCUUCCCGAGAUUAGAUAAUGCAUGACGAGGACUUGACUCUUGACUUACACAAGAACUUUAAGAAAGAAGAAAAGCUUGAAUUAUCCGAAAUGACAAGCUCCCACGGUUUUGCUUCUGUGAGAGGCACGGUUUUGCUUCCAUGAUAGACACAUCUGUGUCUCUUGGAAACGAAAAAACACGUUUUCUCUUCUUUUUUUUCCUUCCGUGAGAGGCACGGUUUUAUUUUUGCGAGAGGGGCGGCUUUGCUUUCGUGAGAGGCACGGUCAUGCCUCUCGGAAACAAAAAAAAACACGUUAUUUAUUUAUUUUUUCCUUUCACGAGAGGCAUGGUUUUUCGUGAUUUUUUUUUCGUUAAAACCUACCAACAUGGGAUUUAGUUUUGAAGAUCUCGAUGCGAGGAAUCAAACGGUGAAAACAGUUUAAGAUUUGGACGCACAGUUUAAAAGAUAAAAUAUUUUGAAUAAACGAAUUUAGAACUAAAAAGAAAAAACAUUCAAGUUGUGACAAAUGAUACACAUUCAACGUAUCACUUGUCACAAACUAAAGAAAUAAUAGUGAUCUUUGAAAAAGACUACUCCUCAUUGAUUUCCGCUAGGUUCUCUUGUCUGACCCAGCCGGCCCAUCUUUCUUUCGAUUACUGGCACCCGAAGCUCACUCAUGAGCGAUUGCUUCGCUGUUUUCAAUUUUUUUUCUUUUCUUCUCUGCUUUUUUAUAUUUUUCCCACCAGAUUUCUUUGUUACGGUUCUUUUUAAUUUUUCUGCUUUCUUUGUUUUUUCGUCGCUUUUUUUCAUUUUUUCUCAAUUUCCAUCGGUUUUUCAUUUUUUUAUUUCUUUCUUUCGCUGCUUUUAAUGGUUCUUUUGCUUUUCUUUGUUUCUUUCUUGAUUUUCAUCGGUUUUCUUUAUGUUAUUUGUUUCUUUUUCGGUUUUCUUUGUUUCAUUCUUUUACAUUCAUUUCUUCAGUUUCUCUUUUUUUGGUUUUUAUUUUUUUUAGUUUUUCUUUGUUUCUUUGUUGAUUUUCACCUGUUUCUGUUUUGUUCAGUAUGUCUUAACAUUUUUCGUACACAUUCAACAUUUUUUUAUACAUCAAAAAUAUUUUUUCAUAUACAUGUUUAACAUUUUAAAAUACAUGGUUAAGAUUUUUUAUGUCUAUCUUUUCUCCAAACACAUACAUUUUUGGUACUCCCUCCGAUCCGUAUUAUUUGCCUUAUAUUUUUCUAGAUAUGAAUGUAUGUAACACUAAAACAUGUCUAAAUACAUCCGUCUCUACACAAAUAUAAGACAAGUAAUAUAUAUUGGAGGGAGUAUAUAUCAAAUACAAUUUUUCUGAUACACAUGUAACAUCUUUCAAAUACAAGUUUAACAUUUUUUUAAUACAUGAUCAAUAUUUUUUGUACACAUAUAACACUUUCUUCAAAUACUUGAUUAACAUUUUUUAAUAUAUUGACAACUUUUUUUCUACACAUAGUAAUCAUUUUUCAAAUGCUUGAUUAACAUUUUUCGAAUACAAGGUUAACAAUAUUUUUAAUAUAUGGUCAACUUUUUUUCCUCGAUACAUUUAACAUUUUUAAAUGCUUGCUUAAUUUUUCUGAAUACUUAUUGAACAGUUUCUCAAAUUCUUGAUUAAAUUUUCUGAAAUACAGGAUUAAUUUUUUCACACACAUUGUAUAAUUUUUUAUAUAUAUGAGAAACAUUUGCUAUAUACAUAUUUAACAUUUUUCAAAUGCUUUUUUUAAUGUUAUAUGUAAAUUGUUUUUUAAUAUGUUUAUUCCAAAUAUUUUUGAAGUAUAGACAAAAGUAGAAAAAGAAAGCAAAAAACAAACACAAAAAAUGUGAAAAAGUGAGGUUAUGGCUCCCGCGCGCCUAGGCCGGCCCAUCUUGCGCUGACCUUCAUGUGAUAGUUCGCUAUGUCGCGCCCUAGGCUGAGUGAGAUGAGUGGUGGGAGGAUGGACCUGUUGAGGUAAAUUCGGUAGAAUUAGUGAAAUAUGUUUUUAGAGGUCAUCAUCUAACUAACUUUGAUAGCCUAAACAAUCUUAACUAAAUUUGGUUAGUGACCACUAGCAAUUGAGAUCAUUCCCAAAAAUAAAACAUUCUAAAAAAGUUAGCAACCAAAUUAUCAAGGACUUAAUGGUGAUGUACAUAACCUUUUGGCCAAUUAUAAGGCCAAUUUGGCAUGCAAAAAGCAAGUUCAUUCACGAGGACAUCCAUCAUAGCCCCUAUCGACUUUUGCUUUUGUACAAAAUUUCCUACAAGAACUAGAGAUCAUGAAGUAUCCCAAAAUUAGCUCUAAGCCUAGGUUGUCCUCCACACCAAGCAUGUGCACUAGCCACCAGGCAUUAGGCCGACCCGAUCUCCUCUUACCACCGCCUUCCUGACAACCCCUUAUCACCUCCUUCCUCCAUGCCACCACCAUCGUUGACGCCUAUCUCGACUUGGACACGAACUCUCCUCGAGCAUGCUCCAAUGGGGUGCCCUACACAGACUCCUUGGCUAAUUCCACACACCAAAGGCACAUAAAAAGGUUUUGAAUCCCUUGACCAAAAGCCAAGCUCAACUGUGAGUUCCUGUGCAAAACGUUUCCCAUCUGAAGCAUCAUAUCUCACCAUUCCACCGUUUUUGCCAGGACUCCCUUCCACCCAAGGUAUGUCGUUCAGUGCCUUCAAGUGUUGAUACACAUAAUCCAGUCAUCCAUCAUGUCGGCUUAGUUUUUCUUUAAUUACAACAUCGCUCUUUAUGCAUUCAUUUGUGUGUGUGUGGGGGGGGCAUGCACUUGAUGCAGGUGAGAUGCUGGUGAUUCCCACCAUUACUACAAGUAAGUACGUGUAAGGGUAGGGAAGGGUCUUCAUUGGCGAGGAGGAGAGGCAACGUGAGUGAAUUUUAGACUAGGGGGCAGGAGUGUGGAUGAUGCAUACACCAUGUGUAAAUGAGAUUAGGGUGGCUGCCACCAUCAUGAUGAGCCCAUGAAAAUACAAGGUGGUGCAGGGAGAAGGUCAUGAAGGUAGCUUGCUGUGUAAUGAUCGAGAUAAUUGCAAUGGUAUUAAUCACGUUCGUUGUGAAGAGGUGAACAACGUCGCCGCCAUCGGCACUGUGACGAAGAGAAGAAAGGGAAACACAAAUGGCUCGCUAGGGACAUGUUUAUCCCGAUGAAAAGCACGUGCACAUCUCUUAGUGCAAUAUAUAUUGCCACGGAAGCGAGCUAAACUAAGCCAGCCCACUGUUGCGUUUGGUUUUCGGAGUACUUUGUUUACUAUCGAUUCAGUUAUUUUCGGAUCCGGGUUUGGUCGUUUUCCACGGGAAUUGGUUUUCCACAAUAGCAUAAGUAUCCGGCUUUCUACAUUUUUCUUUGCGUUUUCUUGAUUUUUGUUCUUUUUUCUUCUUCUUAUUUUUUUGUUUUCAUCUGUUUUUACUUUUUGAUACAUGUCGAAAAUUAUCUAAAUACACAUUAAGCAUUACGAAAUACAUGCAAACAUUUUUUGAAUGCAUGCUUGACUUUUUGGUACAUGUUGAAUAUUUUUAAACAAACUAUAAAUAUUUCUCAAAUAAUGUUGAACAUUCUGAAAUGAAGGAUGAAUAAUUUUAAAUACAUCAUUUAAAAUGAGUAAGCACUUUCUUCCAAUUUCAGUGACAAAUGUGACAUUUUCUAAUUUUAAUUUGUUAGAAAAUAAAAAUAAAAUGAGAAAAUCAGAGAAGACCGGACCAAAAAAUCAUGUAAAACUGGUAGAAAACUGCAUGUAGAAACCAACUAGAAAAAUCGCUAGAAAUCCAUGACUAGGCCGGCACAGGUGGAUCACCCGUUGGCGAGUGCUAUAUAUCGCUUGUAGCUUGAUGUUGUGACUCAGAUAGAAGACACGUUAAGGCCAACGCCAUUUAUGGAGCUGAGCAUGUUCUCUAACCUCGUGAUCCUUGUGGGUGUGUGGCGAGGUGAAUCCCUCCUAUUUGACGCUCAUUGGUUCAAAGUGUCAGGGUUUCACACAGGGCCUGGAGUCAUGGGCCAAAUCCAAUACGGUGGUUGGGCAAGCAAUGUUUCUCGUAUCUUUUUUCAAUAGCCUUUUGUUUGUUUUUGAUAUUUUCGAGUGUGCUCUUUUGCUUUUCUUCUGUAGGUUUGUUCAUUUAUCUGCCAUCAUUUUUCCUUUGCCGGGUUCCAAUUUUUUGCUUUUAUUUAUUUAAUUUUAAUAUUUUUUCAUUUCUCCUUCUCAUUUUGUACAUAUAUUCUAUAUAUCUGAAAUUGUUCAUGUUUUGAAAAUUCACAAAAUUGAAAAAAAUGUUCAUUUCCUAAGGUUAGCUACAAAUUUUGAAAAUUCCAACUUUAGAAAAUAUUCAUGAACCUAGAAAGUAUGGAAAAAGGAAAAUUAAAAAUUAAAGGAAUCGGGAGCAAUCCCGAAAAGGAAAGUUUUUCUUUGAAAAACGUUAGAAACCAGCGUUCCAUUGUGUUUUUCCCCAACAUUCUAAUGCACAGUGUCAAAUAGGAGGGGAUUUCUCGGUGAGAUCGUCCUACCAUGCGGAAUGGGAACACCAACCUGGACGAAAAUUGAGAAGGACAAACUCUAUUGAAGCCUCAAGUACUAGCCCAAUUUGGAGUGUUGUUUGGAAAUUGCAUGUUCUGGCUAAGAUCAAGAUCCAUGUCUGGAGAAGUUUAUUGGGUGCAAUACCUUGCUACAGUGUUCUGACCAAUAGGCACAUGGCCACAAUUCUCAAUGCCCCCUCUGUAUGGCGGACUGCGAGAGCAUCACACACACGUGGUGGCUACAUUCAACGAUGACUAAGGUACUGGAGCUUUGGGUGCUAUUCUUCGCGACUAUAAUGGAUAUUUUUUGGCGAUGUCUUGCAGCCAUAUUCCCUUUGUUGAUGACGCUGCAUUGGCGGAAGCCCGAGGUCUUCGAGAUGGCCUUAUCUUGGCAAGUGAUAUUGGAUGCAAUAACAUAGUGGUCCAAGCUGAUUGCAUGGAGGUAAUUCAGGUGAUGCAAGAUGGUGGCACUCGUUAGGACCAGCAGCAACAAUCUUCGAGGACUACACUUUAUUAUGUCGUAAUUUUAAUUAUGUUAGUUGUUAUCAUUGCCCUAGGGAGGCCAAUAUGGCGGCAAACUUGUUAACUAGUAGAUCGGAGGUUUUCGCAAACCUUGAAUUGGCAAGACGAACCACCUGAUUUUCUAGUGGAUGUACUCCUAACCGAUGUAUCAUUGUUACCGCAUGAAAUAUAAACCGACAUGAUGUGAGUUGGGCGGGAGUACAUGCGUGUGGACGCUAUAGUUGGAAACGGCAUGGAGAUUGUCCAGGAGGGACGAAAUGUUGUCCAUGAAUUGAGCAUCUUGUCAGUGAUGCGUCGGUGAUCCCAUGCCUUGCUGACCCGUAGAUGUGGGACCCAAACAAAUAAAUAUCGCAAUAAAAAGCUCAUUUGCCUUGUUCCAAAUAAAUAACUAUGCAACGAAUAGCAAGUUAGUGUGACGACGACAUAUUACUUCUUCUUUUUUAUGAGAAAUAUAUUACUUCUGUCAUGCGUCAGUGAUAUGAUACUUAAACAGAAGAAUAGUAGAAUGGUACACACUACUAUUCAUCAACCCACGAAGGGGUAAAUAUACAGAGUACAUGGUGGUGACAGCCACAACUAUGUACGGGCAUGCACAACGUGCACCAAGUCGUGGGGCGUGGCAUGCGGUAGCAGAUCAGGUACAAGACGUGGGACUCGGUCCCUGUUACACUAGCAACGGGCAUCUUCCAAUAGCCCCCGCAGUCGCAACGGGAUCAUUGAGGACGUUGAGGCUAGACCGGAAGUCGGGGAAGAUGGGCGUCGGGAGCCCCUUCAUGAAGAUGUCGGCGAACUGUGACGUCGAGGGCACGUGGAGGACCCGAACGUCGCCGAAGGUGACACGCUCACGAACAAAGAGAAGGUCGAUCUCGAUGUGCUUCGUCCGUUGGUGCUGCACAGGGUUGGUGGAGAGGUACAUCAUGCUCACAUUGUCGCAGUAGACGACGGUCGCCGCGGACGGGGGCCGUCGGAGCUCGCGGAGUAGCUGCCGGAGUCAAUACGCCUCAGCCACGUCGUUGGCGACGGCCUUGUACUCCGCCUCGGCGCUGGAGAGCGAGAUAGUCGGUUGACGCUUCGAGGACCAUGAGACAAGGUUGUCGACAACGUAGAUGCAGAAGCCUGAUGUAGACUUGCGUGUGUCGGGACAGCCGGCCCAGUCGGCGUCCGAGUACGCAAUCAACCUGUGGUAGGAGGAGCGCCGAAGAUGAAGACUGAGUUGCAAGGUGCCGCGGAUGUAGCGUAGGAUCCGCUUGAGGACGGUGUAGUGCGGUUCACGCGGGUCGUGCACGAAUAGACAGACCUGCUGAACAGCGUAGGCGAUGUUCGGACGCGUGAGGGUGAGGUACUGGAGAGCUUCCGCUAAGCUGCAAUAGUGAGACGGGUCGGAGAGGGGAGGGCCGUCGGAAGCGGAGAGCUUGGAGCGAGUGUCAAUGGGCGUAGUGGCAGGCUUACAGUUGCUCAUGUGGGUGCGCUCAAGAACCUCUAAGGCAUACUGGUGCUGCGAGAGAAACAACCUGUGUGUGCCACAAGUGACAUUGAUGCCUAAAAAGUAGUGGAGAUCACCAAGGCCAGUCAUGGAAAACUCGCGGUGGAGCUGUGCGAUGAUGUGGCAAAGUACACCACCGAAGACAUCGAUGGUAUGAAUGACGAUGUCGGAGAUGAACAAGGCCAGGACCCGCCGUUUAGCGGACGUUGGACGGCCACCUCCUGAUAUGACGUGUAUAUGGUGGACACACCCAAAGAAGAUGACGGCGACGGCAGGAAGGAUCCGGUCGAGGACGAGCCUGUUGAGGCACCACCAAAGCGUCGACGUCAGUGGCGCCGUUCCAAAUCGCGUCGCGAAAAAGACAGUAAUACCGGCACCGGAGACAAUAACACUCCGGAUAAUGCCAAACACCCCGAAGCCCCCAUCGAGCCAACAUCUGAACAUGACAAUUGGGAGGAGGGGCAAGUCAACCCUGACGAUCCGGUCGGGAACGAGGACUCGGAGGAUAGUAACUAUCUACCACCCUCCGAAGACGACGUGAGCCUCGGUGACGAGGACUUCAUCGUGCCAGAGGAACCACUUGAGCAGGAGCGCUUUAAGCGCUAGCUAAUCGCCACGGCGAGAAGCCUAAAAAGAAGCAAAAAAACUCCAAGCCGAAUAGGAUACACUCAACGACAGAUGGACCCAGGUCCUAGCUACCGAAGAGUAUGGUUUUGAACGCCCACCAAGAAGUUAUCCGAAGCGUCGGUUACUACCACAAUUCGACGAUGAGGCCCUCGAGCCAAUACCGUCAAGACACCACCGCGCUGAUGAACCAGACUGGCCACCGCGUGGACGGGACAGAGCGGCUACUCAGGCUGAACACCAGCCCGCACCACCCCACCUUAGAGGCAGAGAGACAGCGGCUCCAGGAUAUACCUACGACCUACGACAGGACCUGGACAAUAGAGUCGGUCAGACCAGAUCAAUCUAUGUAUCAAGGGGGCAUGCCCCAACGUGAGAGGACGGCCAUCAGGCCUGGCGCGAUAAGCACAACCUCACCCGGGCCAAAAAUCGCAUACGGACGUCAUCCAAACUUUGUCAUGAUGUCGCGCGAUACAGAGGCGCCGCACACCCCUUAUGCUUCACCGAUGAGGUAACGGAGCACCAGUUCCCAGAAGGGUUCAAACCGGUAAACAUUGAAUCAUACGAUGGAACGAUAGAUCCCGCAGUAUGGAUAGAAGAUUUUCUUCUCCAUAUCCACAUGGCUCGCGGUGAUGAUCUCCAUGCCAUCAAGUACCUCCCCCUGAAGCUCAAGGGACCAGCACGACACUAGUUAAAUAGCCUCCCAGAAAACUCUAUUGGUAGCUGGGAAGACUUGGAGGAUGCCUUUAGAGACUACUUCCAAGGCACCUAUGUCCGGCCUUCGGACGCCGACGACCUUAGUCACAUAGUCCAGCAACCCGGAGAGUCAGCCCGGAAGCUCUGGACCAGGUUCUUAAUCAAAAAGAACCAAAUUGUCGAUUGUCUGGACGCCGAAGCCCUCGUGGCCUUUAAACACAGCGUCCGAGACGAGUGGCUUGCCCGACACCUCGGCCAAGAAAAGCCAAAGUCUAUGGCAGCCCUCACUGCACUCAUGACCCGCUUUUGCGCGGGAGAAGAUAGCUGGCUAGCUCGUAGAAGCAACAACACCAGCGACCCCGGCACCUCCGAAGCCAUGGAUGGCAAUAGUAGGCCACAACACAACCAAAAAAAAGCAUCAAAACAACAACGAAAAUACCGAAGAUACGGCGGUCAACGCCGGAUUCAGUGGCUCCAAACCAGGUCUGCAAAAGAAGCCAUUCAAAUGAAACAAGGAUAGCCCAUCUAGUUUGGACAGGAUAUUCGAUCGGCCUUGCCAGAUUCAUGGCUCCCCUGACAAGCCUGCCAAUCACACGAACAGAAAUUGUUGGGUUUUCAAACAGGCCGGUAAGAUAAACACCGAAAAUAAGAGGAAAGGGCCACCCAGCGAGGAUGACGAUGAAGAGCCUCGCCCACCGAACACAGGGGGACCGAAGAAAUUUCCCCCCGAGGUAAAAACGGUGAAUAUGAUAUACGUUACGCAUAUCCCAAAGAGGAGCGCAAGCGUGCUCUAAGGGACGUCUACGCCGUAGAGCCGGUCGCACCAAAAUUCAACCCCUGGUCGGCCUGUCCAAUCACCUUCGAUCGUAAGGAUCACCCGACCAGUACCCAUCACGGAGGUUCGGCGGCCUUGGUCCUCGAUCCAAUCAUCAACGGAUUCCAUCUCACAUGAGUCAUUAUGGACGGCGGUAGCAGUCUUAAUCUGCUCUAUCAGGACACGGUCCGCAAAAUGGGUAUUGAUCCGUCAAGAAUCAAGCCCACCAAAACCACCUUUAAAGGAGUAAUCCCUGGUGUGGAAGCCCGUUGCACAGGCUCCAUAACAUUGGAAGUGGUCUUCGGCUCGCCGGACAACUUCCGAAGCGAAGACUUGAUCUUCGACAUCGUCCCCUUCCCAGUGGUUACCACGCACUGCUUGGAAGAACCGCUUUCACCCGCUUCAAUGCGGUCCCGCAUUAUGCUUACUUAAAGCUCAAAAUGCCCGGACCUCGCGGCGUCAUAGCAGUCAAUGGAAAUACAGAGCACUCCCUCCAUACUGAGGAGCAUACCGCGGCCCUCGCAGCUGAAGUAUAGGGUGGCCUUAUCAAGCCGAACACUACCUCGGCAGUCAAGCCCUCAGACACUGUCAAACGAGUCCGGUCUACCUUGCAGAAUGACAGUCCGGCUCAUCCAGAGCUCGAUUAGCAUUUCAGCCUCCGUCAAAAUACCAACCCAAUUGCGGCAUUCGUACCGCGUGUACAUAACUACGCACUAAAGAUACCAUGGGCAAGGAUGGAGGCACACUAAAAAUAAA